CCUACGGGUGGCUGCAGUCGAGGAUCUUCGGCAAUGGGCGCAAGCCUGACCGAGCGACGCCGCGUGUGCGACGAAGGCCUUCGGGUUGUAAAGCACUGUCGUGAGGGAGAAAAGCCGCAAGGCUUGAUCGACCUCAGGAGGAAGCACGGGCUAAGUUCGUGCCAGCAGCCGCGGUAAGACGAACCGUGCGAACGUUGUUCGGAAUCACUGGGCUUAAAGGGCGCGUAGGCGGGCUCGCAAGUCAGGGGUGAAAGCCCGCGGCUCAACCGCGGAAG
Molecule: ribosomal RNA, 275 nt
Filed under: uncultured bacterium
Lineage: Bacteria
Description: partial 16S ribosomal RNA
Rfam family: Bacterial small subunit ribosomal RNA
Source: RNAcentral